This 2746-nucleotide ribosomal RNA is filed under the name Klebsiella pneumoniae. RNAcentral describes it as "bacterial LSU rRNA". It matches the Rfam family "Bacterial large subunit ribosomal RNA". Lineage: Bacteria; Pseudomonadati; Pseudomonadota; Gammaproteobacteria; Enterobacterales; Enterobacteriaceae. The record is from RNAcentral.
UUAAGCGACUAAGCGUACACGGUGGAUGCCCUGGCAGUCAGAGGCGAUGAAGGACGUGCUAAUCUGCGAAAAGCGUCGGUAAGGUGAUAUGAACCGUUAUAACCGGCGAUGUCCGAAUGGGGAAACCCAGUGCAAUUCGUUGCACUAUCGUUAACUGAAUACAUAGGUUAACGAGGCGAACCGGGGGAACUGAAACAUCUAAGUACCCCGAGGAAAAGAAAUCAACCGAGAUUCCCCCAGUAGCGGCGAGCGAACGGGGAGCAGCCCAGAGUCUGAAUCAGCUUGUGUGUUAGUGGAACGGUCUGGAAAGUCCGACGGUACAGGGUGAUAGUCCCGUACACCAAAAUGCACAGGCUGUGAACUCGAAGAGUAGGGCGGGACACGUGGUAUCCUGUCUGAAUAUGGGGGGACCAUCCUCCAAGGCUAAAUACUCCUGACUGACCGAUAGUGAACCAGUACCGUGAGGGAAAGGCGAAAAGAACCCCGGCGAGGGGAGUGAAAAAGAACCUGAAACCGUGUACGUACAAGCAGUGGGAGCACCUUCGGGUGUGACUGCGUACCUUUUGUAUAAUGGGUCAGCGACUUAUAUUCUGUAGCAAGGUUAACCGUAUAGGGGAGCCGCAGGGAAACCGAGUCUUAACUGGGCGUUAAGUUGCAGGGUAUAGACCCGAAACCCGGUGAUCUAGCCAUGGGCAGGUUGAAGGUUGGGUAACACUAACUGGAGGACCGAACCGACUAAUGUUGAAAAAUUAGCGGAUGACUUGUGGCUGGGGGUGAAAGGCCAAUCAAACCGGGAGAUAGCUGGUUCUCCCCGAAAGCUAUUUAGGUAGCGCCUCGUGAACUCAUCUUCGGGGGUAGAGCACUGUUUCGGCUAGGGGGUCAUCCCGACUUACCAACCCGAUGCAAACUACGAAUACCGAAGAAUGUUAUCACGGGAGACACACGGCGGGUGCUAACGUCCGUCGUGAAGAGGGAAACAACCCAGACCGCCAGCUAAGGUCCCAAAGUCAUGGUUAAGUGGGAAACGAUGUGGGAAGGCACAGACAGCCAGGAUGUUGGCUUAGAAGCAGCCAUCAUUUAAAGAAAGCGUAAUAGCUCACUGGUCGAGUCGGCCUGCGCGGAAGAUGUAACGGGGCUAAACCAUGCACCGAAGCUGCGGCAGCGACACUAUGUGUUGUUGGGUAGGGGAGCGUUCUGUAAGCCUGCGAAGGUGUGCUGUGAGGCAUGCUGGAGGUAUCAGAAGUGCGAAUGCUGACAUAAGUAACGAUAAAGCGGGUGAAAAGCCCGCUCGCCGGAAGACCAAGGGUUCCUGUCCAACGUUAAUCGGGGCAGGGUGAGUCGACCCCUAAGGCGAGGCCGAAAGGCGUAGUCGAUGGGAAACAGGUUAAUAUUCCUGUACUUGGUGUUACUGCGAAGGGGGGACGGAGAAGGCUAUGUUAGCCGGGCGACGGUUGUCCCGGUUUAAGCAUGUAGGCUGAUUGUCCAGGCAAAUCCGGAUAAUCAAGGCUGAGGUGUGAUGACGAGGCACUACGGUGCUGAAGUAACAAAUGCCCUGCUUCCAGGAAAAGCCUCUAAGCAUCAGGUAACAUCAAAUCGUACCCCAAACCGACACAGGUGGUCAGGUAGAGAAUACCAAGGCGCUUGAGAGAACUCGGGUGAAGGAACUAGGCAAAAUGGUGCCGUAACUUCGGGAGAAGGCACGCUGGUGUGUAGGUGAAGUCCCUGCGGAUGGAGCUGAGACCAGUCGAAGAUACCAGCUGGCUGCAACUGUUUAUUAAAAACACAGCACUGUGCAAACACGAAAGUGGACGUAUACGGUGUGACGCCUGCCCGGUGCCGGAAGGUUAAUUGAUGGGGUUAUCCGUAAGGAGAAGCUCUUGAUCGAAGCCCCGGUAAACGGCGGCCGUAACUAUAACGGUCCUAAGGUAGCGAAAUUCCUUGUCGGGUAAGUUCCGACCUGCACGAAUGGCGUAAUGAUGGCCAGGCUGUCUCCACCCGAGACUCAGUGAAAUUGAACUCGCUGUGAAGAUGCAGUGUACCCGCGGCAAGACGGAAAGACCCCGUGAACCUUUACUAUAGCUUGACACUGAACAUUGAGCCUUGAUGUGUAGGAUAGGUGGGAGGCUUUGAAGCGUGGACGCCAGUCUGCGUGGAGCCAACCUUGAAAUACCACCCUUUAAUGUUUGAUGUUCUAACGUUGGCCCCUGACCGGGGUUGCGGACAGUGUCUGGUGGGUAGUUUGACUGGGGCGGUCUCCUCCCAAAGCGUAACGGAGGAGCACGAAGGUUAGCUAAUCCUGGUCGGACAUCAGGAGGUUAGUGCAAUGGCAUAAGCUAGCUUGACUGCGAGCGUGACGGCGCGAGCAGGUGCGAAAGCAGGUCAUAGUGAUCCGGUGGUUCUGAAUGGAAGGGCCAUCGCUCAACGGAUAAAAGGUACUCCGGGGAUAACAGGCUGAUACCGCCCAAGAGUUCAUAUCGACGGCGGUGUUUGGCACCUCGAUGUCGGCUCAUCACAUCCUGGGGCUGAAGUAGGUCCCAAGGGUAUGGCUGUUCGCCAUUUAAAGUGGUACGCGAGCUGGGUUUAGAACGUCGUGAGACAGUUCGGUCCCUAUCUGCCGUGGGCGCUGGAGAAUUGAGGGGGGCUGCUCCUAGUACGAGAGGACCGGAGUGGACGCAUCACUGGUGUUCGGGUUGUCAUGCCAAUGGCACUGCCCGGUAGCUAAAUGCGGAAGAGAUAAGUGCUGAAA